UUUGAAAAGUAAGUGAGGUUGCCAUGGAGCGUAGGAGCACAUUUGUGCAAGAGUUGGCUGUUUGUGAAAUUGGUAUAGAGUUUGUUGUGUGAUACUAAAAUAAGUUAUGUUUGCAGUUUGAGGAGGUGUGGAAAGAUGAGGUGGCCGAAGAGUUUGGAGGAUUACUGGUGGGCUUGAGGAGAUGUGGCAGCAAGUGCAGAAAGGCUAUUAUUACCUGUAUGGCGCAGACUAAGCAAGUGGAAGUAGGGUACUCAUCCAGAGGUGGGGGAGAAGCGUUUGAUGUUUGAAAGGAGGCCAGUGUUGUAACCAUGCGGCCCAUGCACCAUCUCCUGCAAGGAGGUGUUGCCGUCCAUAAGACGUGGUUGGUGUUGGAGAGGGACAUUAACGCUGGACUGAGUUUUGGAGGCAGCUUUGGUGUAAGUAUUUUAGUGCCUGGAAGAAGACUUGGU
Homarus americanus (American lobster) is the source of this 449-nucleotide long non-coding RNA. RefSeq lists it as uncharacterized. The transcript is spliced from 3 exons. Lineage: Eukaryota; Metazoa; Arthropoda; Malacostraca; Decapoda; Nephropidae. The record is from RefSeq and is a predicted model, not a curated record.